CAUGGUCUUAGCUUGCUAAGGCUGAUGGCGACCGGCGCACGGGUGAGUAACACGUAUCCAACCUGCCGUCUACUCUUGGCCAGCCUUCUGAAAGGAAGAUUAAUCCAGGAUGGGAUCAUGAGUUCACAUGUCCGCAUGAUUAAAGGUAUUUUCCGGUAGACGAUGGGGAUGCGUUCCAUUAGAUAGUAGGCGGGGUAACGGCCCACCUAGUCAACGAUGGAUAGGGGUUCUGAGAGGAAGGUCCCCCACAUUGGAACUGAGACACGGUCCAAACUCCUACGGGAGGCAGCAGUGAGGAAUAUUGGUCAAUGGGCGAUGGCCUGAACCAGCCAAGUAGCGUGAAGGAUGACUGCCCUAUGGGUUGUAAACUUCUUUUAUAAAGGAAUAAAGUCGGGUAUGCAUACCCGUUUGCAUGUACUUUAUGAAUAAGGAUCGGCUAACUCCGUGCCAGCAGCCGCGGUAAUACGGAGGAUCCGAGCGUUAUCCGGAUUUAUUGGGUUUAAAGGGAGCGUAGAUGGAUGUUUAAGUCAGUUGUGAAAGUUUGCGGCUCAACCGUAAAAUUGCAGUUGAUACUGGAUGUCUUGAGUGCAGUUGAGGCAGGCGGAAUUCGUGGUGUAGCGGUGAAAUGCUUAGAUAUCACGAAGAACUCCGAUUGCGAAGGCAGCCUGCUAAGCUGCAACUGACA
This 685-nucleotide ribosomal RNA is filed under the name uncultured Bacteroidales bacterium. RNAcentral describes it as "bacterial SSU rRNA". It matches the Rfam family "Bacterial small subunit ribosomal RNA", at positions 63 to 745 of the family's 1533-position model. The record is from RNAcentral. Lineage: Bacteria; Pseudomonadati; Bacteroidota; Bacteroidia; Bacteroidales.